UGGGGAAUAUUGGACAAUGGGCGCAAGCCUGAUCCAGCCAUGCCGCGUGAGUGAUGAAGGCCUUAGGGUUGUAAAGCUCUUUCGCCGACGAAGAUAAUGACGGUAGUCGGAGAAGAAGCCCCGGCUAACUUCGUGCCAGCAGCCGCGGUAAUACGAAGGGGGCUAGCGUUGUUCGGAAUCACUGGGCGUAAAGCGCACGUAGGCGGAUUGUUAAGUCAGGGGUGAAAGCCUGGAGCUCAACUCCAGAACUGCCCUUGAUACUGGCAAUCUCGAGUCCGGAAGAGGUAAGUGGAACUGCGAGUGUAGAGGUGAAAUUCGUAGAUAUUCGCAAGAACACCAGUGGCGAAGGCGGCUUACUGGUCCGGUACUGACGCUGAGGUGCGAAAGCGUGGGGAGCAAAACAGGAUUAGAUACCCUGGUAGUCCACGCCGUAAAACGAUGGAGGCUAGCCGUUGGCGAGCAUGCUCGUCAGUGGCGCAGCUAACACAUUAAGCCUCCCGCCUGGGGGAGUACGGUCGCAAGAUUAAAAACUC
This 533-nucleotide ribosomal RNA is filed under the name uncultured bacterium. RNAcentral's name for it is "partial 16S ribosomal RNA". It matches the Rfam family "Bacterial small subunit ribosomal RNA", at positions 355 to 902 of the family's 1533-position model. The record is from RNAcentral.